This 280-nucleotide long non-coding RNA is filed under the name Sorghum bicolor (sorghum). RNAcentral's name for it is "long non-coding RNA (SBIC_LNC016770)". The record is from RNAcentral. Lineage: Eukaryota; Viridiplantae; Streptophyta; Magnoliopsida; Poales; Poaceae.
GGCGGAGGAGCGCGGCCUCGGUGAACGGUGGUGCGGCUGCGGGCGUGCGGGGUUGACUGCUGCGCGGCCACGAUCGCGCCAAGCUGCGGAUCGUACUCGUACGCCAGCGGCGCGCUUUGUCGCCUGCCCAGCCUCCGUGCGCCGCCGUGUCGACCCCUCGCUGAUCCGCUCUCUGAUCCUAGUACUAGUUGCGUCACCGGCGGGUAACUGUUGGCGCGGUUCGUUUCUGCUUUUCUGCUGCUGUGCUGCACCUUCACCCUCUCCACUACCACUACUGCUU